GAACGCACAUUGCGCCCCUUAGUAUUCUAGUGGGCAUGCCUGUUCGAGCGUCAUUUAGUCCACUUAAGCCCUUGCUUAGUAUUGGGAAUCUACUCCUGCAUCGCAGCUGUAGUUCCUCAAAGACAGCGGCGGAGUCGUGGUUUUACUCUGAGCUUAGUAAUUUUUUUCUAGCUUUCGAGUAGCCAUUGCCCCAUUGCCGUAAAACACCCUUUAUUUUUUAAUGGUUGACCUCGGAUCAGGUAGGAAUACCCGCUGAACUUAAG
This 263-nucleotide unclassified non-coding RNA is filed under the name uncultured Xylariaceae. Its description in RNAcentral is "sequence contains 5.8S rRNA gene". The record is from RNAcentral. Lineage: Eukaryota; Fungi; Ascomycota; Sordariomycetes; Xylariales; Xylariaceae.